CCUACGGGAGGCAGCAGUGAGGAAUAUUUGUCAAUGGGGGAAACCCUGAUGCAGCGACGCCGCGUGAGUGAAGAAGUAUUUCGGUAUGUAAAGCUCUGUCAGCAGGGAAGAAAAUGACGGUACCUGACCAAGACGCCCCGGCUACCUACGUGCCAGCAUCCGCGGUAAUACGUAGGGGGCAAGCGUUAUCAGGAUUUACUGGGUGUAAAGGUAGCGUAGACGGCAGGGCAAGUCUGGAGUGAAAGGUGGGGGCUCAACCCCCGGACUGCUCUGGAAACUGCCAGGCUGGAGUGCAGGAGAGGUAAGUGGAAUUCCUGGUGUAGCAGUGAAAUGCGUAGAUAUUAGGAGGAACACCAGUGGCGAAGGCGGCUUACUGGACUGUAACUGACGUUGAGGCUCGAAAGCGAGAGGAGCGAAAAGGAUUAGAUACCCCAGUAGUC
Molecule: ribosomal RNA, 440 nt
Filed under: uncultured bacterium
Lineage: Bacteria
Description: partial 16S ribosomal RNA
Rfam family: Bacterial small subunit ribosomal RNA
Source: RNAcentral